This 448-nucleotide ribosomal RNA is filed under the name uncultured bacterium. RNAcentral describes it as "partial 16S ribosomal RNA". It matches the Rfam family "Bacterial small subunit ribosomal RNA", at positions 329 to 794 of the family's 1533-position model. The record is from RNAcentral.
GACCAGACUCCUACGGGAGGCAGCAGUGGGGAAUAUUGCACAAUGGGGGAAACCCUGAUGCAGCAACGCCGCGUGAGUGAAGAAGUAUUUCGAUAUGUAAAGCUCUAUCAGCAGGGAAGAAGAUGACGGUACCUGAGUAAGAAGCCCCGGCUAACUACGUGCCAGCAGCCGCGGUAAUACGUAGGGGGCAAGCGUUAUCCGGAUUUACUGGGUGUAAAGAGAGCGUAGACGGUAUGGCAAGUCUGAUGUGAAAACCCGGGGCUCAACCCCGGGACUGCAUUGGAAACUGUCGGACUAGAGUGUCGGAGAGGCAAGUGGAAUUCCUAGUGUAGCGGUGAAAUGCGUAGAUAUUAGGAGGAACACCAGUGGCGAAGGCGGCUUGCUGGACGAUGACUGACGUUGAGGCUCGAAAGCGUGGGGAGCAAACAGGAUUAGAUACCCCGGUAAA